CGAGGGAGAUCAUGACAGUGAGUGGGCACAGGUCUGAGAGCUUGUUAAAAAGCUACUGGAAGCCAUCCAUGGAGAGCAGAAAACGAUGGAGCAACAUACUGUCAGAUCAGAAGGCAGAGUCGGCUGUGCCUGUGAAGCGACAGUCCACCAUGCAGUCACCAGAGACUUAUUUCACCGGCUGCACAAUUAAUGGAAAUGUGCAGAUAAAUGUGUAUAAAGAGUAAGUGCCUGGCGCACCAUGUCUGCGUUACAUAGCAACGGUGACAGCGGAGUCCUGAGGGAACUAUUUUUGUUGGCGGAAGACAAAUAAAAUGCUUAAAUUA
This is a long non-coding RNA of Epinephelus moara (kelp grouper), 323 nucleotides long. RefSeq lists it as uncharacterized. NCBI's taxonomy places the organism in Eukaryota, Metazoa, Chordata, Actinopteri, Perciformes, Serranidae. The record is from RefSeq and is a predicted model, not a curated record. The transcript is spliced from 2 exons.